GGAAAUUAUUAAUUUUCAAGGAAUCAAGCCAUUAAAGGUGAUGAGCAUUCUGGCAAGAGUAAAGAGGUAGUAUCUGAGGAUCCAGAAUCAGAGUAUCCCGAAUUCGAUUCCCAUUACAGCUCAAGAUAGUUGGUAGAUAGCUCAUUUCGUUGAGGGCUA
Theobroma cacao (cacao) is the source of this 159-nucleotide non-coding RNA. The record is from RefSeq and is a predicted model, not a curated record. NCBI's taxonomy places the organism in Eukaryota, Viridiplantae, Streptophyta, Magnoliopsida, Malvales, Malvaceae.